Molecule: transfer RNA, 87 nt
Filed under: Cordylochernes scorpioides
Lineage: Eukaryota; Metazoa; Arthropoda; Arachnida; Pseudoscorpiones; Chernetidae
Description: tRNA-Sec
Source: RNAcentral
UAUCCAGAAGGUAGAAUCGAACCACUCCGCUUUUAAACGACUACAGGUUUGAACCCUGCACCCCGAACCUCCGAAUUUCAUCUGGGC